Molecule: small nucleolar RNA, 95 nt
Organism: Marmota flaviventris (yellow-bellied marmot)
Lineage: Eukaryota; Metazoa; Chordata; Mammalia; Rodentia; Sciuridae
Product: U8 small nucleolar RNA
Source: RefSeq, a predicted model, not a curated record
UUGUCAGCUUACAUAAUCCUUACCUGUGUUUACUUUUGGAAGGCAGAAUAGAAAAUGAUGAUUGGAGUUUGUAUGGUAUGUGAUCAAUGAGUUUG